Long non-coding RNA from Haliotis rufescens (red abalone), 237 nucleotides. RefSeq lists it as uncharacterized. NCBI's taxonomy places the organism in Eukaryota, Metazoa, Mollusca, Gastropoda, Lepetellida, Haliotidae. The transcript has 3 exons. The record is from RefSeq and is a predicted model, not a curated record.
UGUUUCAGGGGACAUGUCUAAAGUCCACGCAUAUUGGAGAGAAGAGGCAGUCCUUGCGAGGCGUCUGACAGCACGUUCAAGUUCCAGCAGCAGCUCCGAUAGCAGCUCCGAUACUACCCCAGCUCCUACCACAGCUCCUACCCCAGCUCCUGGCGGAGGUUAAGACUGACGGAUUGGCAUUCCACCAUGAAAACGUCCAGAUCUAUGCAAUCAAUAAAGCAUGCUUUGUAAAAUCAG